Procambarus clarkii (red swamp crayfish) is the source of this 1514-nucleotide non-coding RNA. Lineage: Eukaryota; Metazoa; Arthropoda; Malacostraca; Decapoda; Cambaridae. The record is from RefSeq and is a predicted model, not a curated record.
GUGGCAAGUAUCAGUAGUGGAGGGGACAGGGGUGUGGGGGAGCACCUAAAUUAUAAGGCGGAGAGCAAGGUGCGCAUUAUUGCCUCUGACUUCAGCAGGAGCGCACACACUGCCAGAGCGCUCUACACCUGACAAUCUGAUCCACACUGCUGCUGUCCUGCACACCAUGAAGGUACAGUUCCCGCGUGUCUGCUGCCUCCUGCUGCUGCUGAUGCUACUGCCGGCGGUCCUGGCCACUGCGGUAAGGCCAACAGCUCUUCCUGGUGGUCCUACCUGUAAACCUCCAUGCUUUACAUAUGACAGUUACCAGCGGAGGUGUGUGUACUCCUGCGGGUCGGACCCAGCCGCAGUGAUUAACCCGUGAGGCCCCGCAACCAAUCACUGGAUAAUAUAUUUGUGACCCACACCCAAUCAAUGGAUAAUAUAUGUGUGACCCGCACCCAAUCACUGGAUAAUACAUUUGUUACCAGCACCAAAUCACUGGAUAAUGCAUUUGUGACCCGCAGACAAUCAGCGGGUAAUAUGUGUGUGACCUGAAGCAGUCAUUACUACUAACAGCGGACGUCACCAACCACAGCAGAUGUCACCACAAACAGCUGUCGUCACCAAGAACAGCUGACGUCACUACAACCAGCAGACAUCAACGCCAACACUAAAAGCAGACAUCACCACCAACAGCAUUUGUCGUCACUUACACAUACGUCAUCACUAGCAGCAGACCUCACCACCAACAGCAGAGUUCGGGUGUAUAAGUAUAUUGGUGAACAGUGGCGGGGGGACCGGGAGGGGAGUAUACUCUUAGAUGGAGAAUAUUGUAUUCGUUUGUAUGUUAUUGCCUCUGCAGGAAAUUGUGGAGAAACUUACAACAAUGCCGUAGUGCUUGAAUGUAGGAGAUUAAGGACCAAUUAUAUGUAUAAGUGUAUUAAAGACUAAAUUUUUGGAUGUAACCUUCAACCUUUCUCAAGGUGAGUGAGUGUGGGUGCACUGUAUACAAUGUAGUGAGUGCACUGUGUACAAUGUUGUGGGUCCACUGUAUACAAUGUUGUGGGUGCACUGUAUACAAUGUUGUGGGUGCACUGUAUACAAUGUUGUGGGUGCACUGUAUACAAUGUUGUGAGUGCACUGUAUACAAUGUUGUGAAUGCACUAUAUACAAUGUUGUGAGUGCACUGUAUACAGUGAACAUUGUAUACAGCACCUUGAGUGAGAAUGUAAGUUACAUCCCCAAUUAUGUUUUAACUACAUAUAGGAUCAUUCCCUCCAAUAUAUUGUAUUAUGGAAUUAUUGCCUCUACAAGGUAUUGUAUUAUAUUAUUGCAUCUAUACUUGAUAUUAUUUUAUGGUAUUAUUGGCAAUAUACAAGGUAUUUUAUUAUAUUAUUGCCUCUUUUCAAGGUAUUGUAUUGUGGUAUUAUUGCCUCUGUACAAGGUAUCGUAUUAUUGAAUUAUUGCCGUUUUAACUUGUGUAAAAAUUUUAUGUUCAUCAACUUUACAAGUAAAGAAUAAGAAGGAAGCAA